RNAcentral lists this ribosomal RNA (497 nucleotides) under uncultured bacterium. RNAcentral's name for it is "partial 16S ribosomal RNA". It matches the Rfam family "Bacterial small subunit ribosomal RNA", at positions 28 to 507 of the family's 1533-position model. The record is from RNAcentral.
GAUGAACGCUGGCGGCGUGCCUAAUACAUGCAAGUCGAGCGAACAGACGAGGAGCUUGCUCCUCUGACGUUAGCGGCGGACGGGUGAGUAACACGUGGAUAACCUACCUAUAAGACUGGGAUAACUUCGGGAAGCCGGAGCUAAUACCGGAUAAUAUAUUGAACCGCAUGGUUCAAUAGUGAAAGACGGUUUUGCUGUCACUUAUAGAUGGAUCCGCGCCGCAUUAGCUAGUUGGUAAGGUAACGGCUUACCAAGGCAACGAUGCGUAGCCGACCUGAGAGGGUGCUCGGCCACACUGUAACUGAGACACGGUCCAGACUCCUACGGGAGGCAGCAGUAGGGAAUCUUCCGCAAUGGGCGAAAGCCUGACGGAGCAACGCCGCGUGAGUGAUGAAGGUCUUCGGAUCGUAAAACUCUGUUAUUAGGGAAGAACAAAUGUGUAAGUAACUAUGCACGUCUUGACGGUACCUAAUCAGAAAGCCACGGCUAACUACGUG